Molecule: non-coding RNA, 68 nt
Organism: Podarcis lilfordi (Lilford's wall lizard)
Lineage: Eukaryota; Metazoa; Chordata; Lepidosauria; Squamata; Lacertidae
Source: the annotation of a GenBank genome assembly
GAUAGCUCAGUCCGGCAGAGCGUGAUACUCAUAAUCUCAAAGUUGUGGGUUUGAGUCCCAUAUAUGCA